Long non-coding RNA from Scophthalmus maximus (turbot), 8022 nucleotides. RefSeq lists it as uncharacterized. NCBI's taxonomy places the organism in Eukaryota, Metazoa, Chordata, Actinopteri, Pleuronectiformes, Scophthalmidae. The record is from RefSeq and is a predicted model, not a curated record. The transcript has 4 exons.
GGGAGGGGCGAACGUAACGUAUGUAACCAUGACAUAACUGUAAUAUAUACACGAGUGUUUGUGACACACGAUUAUGCCGUCUGAUGGGAUUUCAAGCCCCCUUCUCGUGAACUGGAAUCGGUGCCAGGCAAUCAGGCGUGUUAAUGGAACUGGCUUGUGAGGCGCAAACGUAUAAGGAGGGCUGCCGAUCGAGAGGUGACUCACUCGCAACGUCGCCCGUAUUAAAAUUCUUUCGCUCAGCUGAACCACAAUGGGGUACGCUAAUCGUCAAACAAGGAGAGCGCUUUUUCUCACUGAAUCUCUGAUCCCAGAAAAAGGAAAAACCAUGAGCAGGAUAAAACGUGUUUCCCAUCAGCGCUCCAUUCAGCUACUAACGCCUAUGCAAUUGGCUGCACCGGUGGAAUGGGGCUGGAAUAGUGAGCGUUUGCCCCGGCGGUUUGAAAAUCGGUGCCGUCGACGGCUGUUGCCAACAAGGCGCUUGGAGCGGCGUAUGCCCGGAGGCAUCCCUGCGAGAUGCGGAGAUGCUGUCGCAGUCGGGGCCAGAUGUGCUGCCGCGCGUGAUUCAUCCGAACCACCAUGAGCGUUCGCAAUUAUGGAACAAUUGAGUUCAACUGGUGGCUCUGGUCUCUCUCCCGAGCUCUGAGGCGCUGUCUUCUGUCUCCGGGUUGUCUGGUGGGUGGCUCGCCCUCUGCUCUCUGAUCCUCUCCCUGCUCUGUCGGCCAAGCCGGCGGAGGUCAGAGGGUUCGGAUAGCGCUCGGCAGCGUCAUCCGUUAGCUCACCGCCGGCUGCCGGGCUUGUGGAGCACAAUCCAUCCGCCGCGCAUGCUGCGACGCUCCUCCGAGUGACUAAUUAUAGCCUCGGUGCAGCCUCAUCAAGCGCCCGUGCACCAAAGCGCGCAUUCACGUAAAUGAGCAGCAGAGAUUCGUCUGACCUCUUUCUGGCGAGGCCCCUCAGAGCGUCUGCCUCGUAACCGGCCUGUGGUUCCGCAGACAGUGACGAGGCUCUGUCAUUGUGCGAUGGAAUGAAUGGGCCCGUCGACACUCGCAGUGAACAGUGCCGUCUCUUUACAGGGAGGGCUGAAGGGAGCGCACUGUCCUCCGAAUGAAUGUCCCCGCCGCCCGCCUGAGAGGGUUUCCCUGCUGUUUUAAGGACAGCAGGGAAACACUCUGUUGUGCUGGGGUGUAUGAAGGUAGGUACGGUGCACUCGUCUUCUUCUAGCCUGCGGCAUGCGCAGUCGUGCGGCCGUAUGCGUUUGUUAACAUAGCGCAUUUCUAAAGAAGCGAGGCUGUGAACAGACGACGACGUUCCUCCUCUUGAUUGCGAGACACUCAGUGUGUUUUUUAGAAUGUUUAUUUGCUCGAUAAUGUUCAAUCAGGUGUUCUGAUCAAAUGCGGUGGAAACAUUGUUGAACAAAAAUGUGGCUUAUAUUCCAGUGUAGCCUCUUGGUUUUAAACUGUAACAUCCGAUGAACAUUCCCUGAAAAUGAACCUGUGGCAAGCGGUUCUAGGGGGGCAAAGGAAAAAAGCACAUUUCAAAGGCGGAAGUUGGCUGGCAUCACGGUGGACUGAGAUUAAUGGCACUUCAGGAGAGAGAAAAUAGUCCAUGAAUCCACAUUCUCUUUCAGAGGCAUUCUCAAGGAGAGGUGAUUAUGGGUCUGAACUGAAGAGAAAUUGAAAUGGGGUACAUUUCGCACCCAUACUGCACCCACGCCGUUUGCCCCUAGACCUUUCAAAAACGAUUAGACUGUUUUUUAAGGACUCUUGUCAGAAAAGUGCAAAAAGUACAAAAAAAUAUUUGCCUGAGCCACGUUCACUCACUUUGUUUUCACUACCCGCGUGUCAUUAGAUUCUGAUUCACUGUGGCUGCAGCUAAUUACACAGUCAGCAGAUGGGAUAUCCUUCAUGGCACAGUACUCACUGCUCUGUGAGUGGAGAAAUUUAAGGUGCACUUCUGCAGAUUUACAGUUUCUGAAAUCAAAUAAAAACGCUCGGAAAAUGAACAGAAAUGGCAAAGUAAUUUGAUUGGAAACAAACCUCUAACUCAAAUGAAUUCAUGUGCCUGUUAAUCAUUACAAAAAUGCAAACAUGACAUAAUCCUUAUUGUAUUUCUUUUGAAAGUAGUGGUCAUUUGACAAACUUUAAGGGCAAUAAAGAGAAAUUACACACCUCAUAGCAAAGGAAACCACCACUGUAGCGCAUAUCCGAACACACAUCCUGGAUUUAUUAGCGUGAAUCGGUAGAAACACCGACACACACGUGGACCCCCAAACCGUAGGUUGUAUAACGGUCAAAACCAUUUUAUAUAUGCGGAGGCUUAUCUACACAUAAUGGUCCCUGGGUGAUUUGAAAACAAUUAGUUCAAUGAAGAAAAACUGCCGUUUCCCAUAGGAUGAUGUCUGUGCUAUACUUUUAUUGGCCUCCUUACCAUUUAUUUAUUCCCUCCUAUUAAUUCUCAGUCAUUUAUCACAUUACAUGUCGGCCCCCGCUGCCAGAGCAAGAGUUUUGGCUGUCCUCUAUUUUGGGGGGGGUCUAAUCUUAAUUGGAAACUGCUGUAGGGGGAAGAUUGCUGUGCGAGGAAGAAAAGUGGCAAACAAGAGGAGGGAGGGGAGGAAGAGGAAGAGAAAAGGAGACAGACAGAUAGACAGAGAGAUGACAACGUAAUAUAUCAAAUAUGAGGUUCCCCGUUAAAACCAGACAAGCAGCAAAUCACUCGUACCCCCGGCUCUUUCUGGCCCCUGCUCUAUUCUUCCCCUCUUUAGCAAGAGUGCAGCUGGACAGCGUAACACAUCAUUUUUUAAGGGGGGAGGCCUAGAAGUGUUUGUGUGCGAAUGCAUAUGUGGAAAGACAAGGUCAAGGGUCAUCCAGUUACCAAAGGUCAGAGAGGAAGCCCCGUCUGUACGAUAUGACGGGGGCCGGCACCGGGGGGAACCCGAUUAGGUGCUGAAUGCGCAGGACAGACAGCAACAUAAACAGAGAUUACAGAGGUGACAGAAACCCCCAGAACGUCAGCGCCCGGGCCACCACCCCCCCCCCAAGCAAUGAGGGGAAGUGGAGCGGCACGCAGACAUCGUGACGGCAGCGUUUGCUUCGGUUUGGUACCGAACUCUUCAUGUAAAUCAGGAAAUGUUGUCCCACGUCAGUGUCAGUCUCAUCGCGAAGAUGAUUGUCGACGACACCGCGCUACUUCUCUGCCAAAGUUCUGGAAGAGGGCAGUGGAUGAGGAUGUCACCUCAACAUUACUUUCAGGUUUGCAUUCGUUCUGAUCAUAAGGCUAUGAAUAGUGGCAGCAGUGAGCGCAAAAUGAAUAUAGACUAAGAACUGUUGUAAUCUCCUCCUGGACGUUUCCUAAUUCUCCGAUAUCUAAUCAUUUUGGCCACUUUGGAGCAGAAAUGGGCUGUAAGCACAACCCUGAGUAAUCAGAUUACAAAAAUGUUACCAAAAAACGAAUAUAUAUUUUCAGCAACUGAACUAAAGCUAAACAGUUGGGUGCCAACACUGACCUACACCGAUAUGAAGUGGGAUAUAAUUUCUUUCAACAUCUCAAGAGUUUUUCAGUCUGUAAAACAUGUAAUAAAAACCUGCCUCCCCCGGCCUCAAGGAGCUACUAAAGCAAACUUAAUAAUUUUAUUAGAAUGAUUCUCGCUGCACAGUUUUAGUGCUCCGCGGUGGCCCUUAAAGCCCAGAUUUUUUCCACCCUGUGAAAACAAACUAAUUUCUUGAAUUUCUGGCACAAGACUAUCCGUACGCACAUCACCACUGACAUAGGUGUGUCGAACACAGUUCAGCUUCGGAGCGAACGCACGCAUAACGGGAGGCUUUUAUGAGCGUGUGAGCAUAUCUCGCAGGCUCAACACGACGCGCCCAAUAAGAGAACAUGGGAGGUGUCCACUCAAUCUUGUGUUUCACAUUACCACCGGACUUUUAUGAGAUCAUGCCUCGGCCGCGCCGCAGAUACAAUCAUGAUUGACAGCUCUCGUUGCGCAAGAAGAAAAGCCGCCGUUGAGAUCCAUGUUUUUAAAUCAAACUAUUAUUCCAGUAUAUGAGCUUCAGCUCAGCUUAACAGCUGCUGACGUUCAAUCACGCUCCCUUUAAUGGAAGAGAAUUUGCGAGCUAGCAAACAUGGCCCCUGUCUUGUCCUGGCAAGCGCGCACUGCAGCAGCCCCAGCUUUGGCUUGUGUGAGCCACCAUCUGCUUUGAAUUGUGAAACAGUUGAGACAGAGCUGUGGUCGGCAGGAGGAGGAGGCUUGGAUCUCAUCUGGAUCUAAUAGGGCGAUGAGAGUAAACCGAGCCAUCCCGAAAAGUGCCUGAGGGCCGCAUGCCAGAAGUGGUCCGUGGAGGUGGGCGAGGGGUCACUUUCGUAGCAACGACGUAUAUGCCUGAUAUGUUACUGUAUGAGGCACGGAGAGAGAAUCCCUUUUCCAACACCACAGUCUGAAGCCUAGAAAAUAUUGGUAACGAAGUGUGUCAACAGCUUACAUAACUGGAGAUAUGUGCAGUAUUGCCCCUCGCUCAUCUCGUUUACAAAAAGCUUACUGCGGGAAAUCCAAUACCGCUGCUCCAACUGGGCGAAAACAUCCCCAAAUUAAUUCGCUCAGCUCUGUACACUCUAAUAGAUUCACUGUUUAAUAGCCAGCUGGAAUAAGCACUCCCCUCCCAUUCAACAAUAAGUUAUCUACAGCUCAAUGCCAACCGAUUUUCACUCCUAAUGGCCAUUGCUUUGGAAAUGGACAAAUAAGCAAAAGGGAAACACAGACAGUGGCCGUCGCACGGCCUCAUCAGCGGUGUAGACUAUUCAUCAGUCGGAAAAAGUUCAUCUCCAUUAGUCAGCAUUACCCUGCUACCUCGGCCGAGUCCCCGGAGUAAUGGCCCGUAGAUGGAGCCCAUUCACAGUCGUUACCGGAGGCAGCUCACCCAAGACCCAGUGCAAUACGUCACUCUGCGGCUGGCAGCGAGCCACCGGGACGGACAGGCCCCGAUCCGAGCCCCCCAGGCUACCUGUGGCACCUUAUCUGAGGCGCCGUCUCUGACAACCGUUCACACUUUGUGGAACAAAACAGACUGUGAGUUAUGUGAAUAUGCCUCGAAGAUUUAGAACUGCAGUGGAUAAAAAGUAGGCUUUCUGCACUCCCCGUACACAUGUAUGGAUGUGUAUGAGAUGGGACGACCUGACCGUCAGGGGCAGAGAGCUCUGCUGCUGCUGCUGCUGCUGCUGCUGCUGCUGCUGGGACAGAGGAGGAUAACAUUCCUGACAGGUCAAAGGGCAAACGCCCCACUUCCUGCCACUCAGGAUGAUGGGACUGGAGGAGCAUGAGGGGGAGUCAGGGGCGUGAAAGGGAGGGACAUCAUCGGUAUGAUAUUUGUUGCAGCUGUGACCAUGCCCCCCGUCUUCCUCUCCCCUCCGCCCAUCCUGCCCUAGCCUCGUUUCCUUUCCUCCUGCUUGGGAACAUUAGUAUUGGUUGUCUGCAUCGUAUCAUCUGCUGCCUCUUGAUCUCCCAGCAAGCGUCGACCGCUAUGAACUGUUUCCUCAGCUUUAUCGCCCGGACACUUCGGGUCCCCCCGUGUCACCGCACAGGUCCGUUGAGUCCUCCUCCCUGGUUUCUGUUUCUCACAGGGCCUCCCGGUGCCAUCCAAUCCCCAGUGAGCUGCUGCGGAUGGAGGUGAUUUACUGGUGGCCCCUCUGUUUGUUUUCCCUUCCCCUGCUGUUGGUCCUGCUAAGCGCCCUGCUUAGCUACUUAGCUGGCGAGGGGGUGCCUCUGUGUGUGCAUGUGUGUGUGAAUGUGCCACAAGUUCCACCAGUCUCCCACCUAUGAGCGAAAAAAAACACCCUCUAGGCCUAUGUGACUUAUUUUCAAUAAACUUAAGCAACGGUGGUUCCAAGAUUGUCUAAGUCGGAGGUAUUCGGGUUUUAUUGAAAUAACCUGGAGCAUCCAUGGAGCGUGACGAAUUUGAUUUAGCUGACAAAGCUGGCUCACACUGACUCCGACAGCAGACCUGAGGCCGGCCCCUGUGUAUCAGCUAUGGAGUGCCAGUGGUCCAUUAGAAGUGCUAAUGUCAUCGUUUGAUAUAUGCUGCCCCGAAAGAUGUUUCCCGAGCAGGUAGCAAGGGCUUGGCCUCCAUUUACACACACACACACACACACACACACACACACACACGAGUGAAUGUAAGCACUCUAUCUAUUUCACACAGAGAUAAACAAAGGCGUCACCGCAUUACCGGUGUUCAUCUAAUUGGCCACAUUGCCUGAGGGGGAGGGGCCGCCGGGGUCACGCUGCUCUCUCUGGGCGCCCAUUACUCGCUCAGUUAAGCCCAGCACCACGUGGCACGGCCCGAGUGUGGAUACACUUGUCACUGAGACAGCCUAAUUAGAAGCAGCCGUCCAGCGCCUGACCCCCUCCGCCCCCGCCCCCGACACCACCUGAGAGGCAGAGCCCGGACCCACCUGUUCCCUGCGGACGCCUCGUGGAGAAUUGAGAGGUCCUGCGCGCCGCUUCUGUCGCUCACAGUCUGCCUUAUCAAAUAUUCAGUACGCCGGGAGUCACGUUGAUGGAUUUUUGCAUGUUUUGUAAAAGAAAAAGAAAAGAAAAGCAGUAUGAAUCGAGGCUUUAUAUGUGUCAUUUAAUCUAUUAAUGGUAACACAUCAUUUCUAAUGCUUUGUAUAUGAGUCCAAUAACAAUGACAUUUGGGUUGCCAGGUAGCAUAACUUUUAUAUUGAGGGGCUAUUAAGAUUAAUGAAAGCAGGAGAUCAUGACCAUUUAUGAACUGAUAUUCAUAGUUUAACAGCAGAAUGUAUUCAUCAAAAUUAUAUAAAGUGACCAUUUCAUUAAUAAAGGUCAUGAGUGCCCCCCCGACCUAAGCUCCACCAAACAAAAACAAAAUAAUAUUUAUCACUGAUUAUAUAAAGCAAUAACAGUGAUUUAUUCCUCUUAAUUGCAGCAAUGACAACAAGCUCAGUUAAAAGAGGCCUUGUGAGAAAGUGGUAGCUUUUGUUUGCAUAGAGAGUAAGCUUUGGUGUGACACCGUCAUGCUGCCACGUCGACUGUAAAGUGUGCCGGACUAAUCGUAUCCCGCUCGGAACGUGAACACUUCAUUCAGACGCACCAGCGUGGCAGCAGCAUCCGGGCGGUUAUACGUUUACCUUUGAUUUUGAAUUGUUUCAGUUUACGACUGCCGGUCAGACUACAGCUGCAGCCGGUGCUUUGAGGACAGCCAAUUACCGAUCCAAGGGUCAUUUCUGAAGAGAACACUUUGAAACAAUGCCAAACAUGAAAAAGACUUCCCCCUGCUCAGUGGAGCGCACUUGAUACCGAGGCACUGAUGCGCGGGGGGGGGGGCAAACUCGCCUCUGAUUCUGGGUUGGCUGGAUGAGACACAGGAAGUGCGAGCUGACUCUGGCUCCAGGGCCGGCUCUGUGUAAACGCUGCGACAUGCGCUUACAUGCGCCAGCAGUCAAACAUACAUUCCACUGUUGAAAGGAAUGCAAACACGAAAACACACUUAUUAUGCCGAUGCAUAAAGGAAGCACUCGUGUGUGAACUCAACGUACAUAAACACCGUUAAAGACCUGCACAUAUUGCCUUCCUAUACGCUCUGCUUUCACUCUCUCCUCCUCCUCUUUCCUUCAUCACUUUUUUUUUUUUUUGCAAUCAUGGAAAACAUUCAAGAUCUCACCUCCUCCACAAUCAUUUCCUCAGCAUCAUCACUCGCCCCUUCGAAAGAGAGGCGGUGUGUUUUACACAUGGCCAGAGCACUUUUGAAUUAAACGCAGGUUAAAAGGUCAUGAGCACUGCGCAGGGAUAUUGCAAACAGAAUGGGGGAAACAGGGCAAAGCCAAAGACGAAAGGGAACUUAAUUGCGCUGUCACCCUACCCUCCUCUGAUGCCUCUUUCCACCGAGGUUAGUGGGAGGCCCCCUCUGCCCCCUCUUUCUCCCGUUCCCUUCGCAUCUGUCUGCUCCACAGAUGCUGCUCCGCUUGAUGUGAUGUGACAUUUAUUAAAGUCCAGCCUUCAGGACUGGUUGAUGG